RNAcentral lists this ribosomal RNA (810 nucleotides) under uncultured beta proteobacterium. Its description in RNAcentral is "bacterial SSU rRNA". It matches the Rfam family "Bacterial small subunit ribosomal RNA", at positions 670 to 1482 of the family's 1533-position model. Lineage: Bacteria; Pseudomonadati; Pseudomonadota; Betaproteobacteria. The record is from RNAcentral.
CACGUGUAGCAGUGAAAUGCGUAGAGAUGUGGAGGAACACCGAUGGCGAAGGCAGCCCCCUGGGAUAACACUGACGCUCAUGCACGAAAAGCGUGGGGAGCAAACAGGAUUAGAUACCAUGGUAGUCCACGCCCUAAACGAUGUCAACUGGUUGUUGGAAGGGUAACCUUUUAGUAACGAAGCUAACGCGUGAAGUUGACCGCCUGGGGAGUACGGUCGCAAGAUUAAAACUCAAAGGAAUUGACGGGGACCCGCACAAGCGGUGGAUGAUGUGGUUUAAUUCGAUGCAACGCGAAAAACCUUACCUACACUUGACAUGCCAGAAAUCCUGCAGAGAUGUGGGAGUGCCGCAAGGAAUCUGGGCACAGGUGCUGCAUGGCUGUCGUCAGCUCGUGUCGUGAGAUGUUGGGUUAAGUCCCGCAACGAGCGCAACCCUUGUCACUAGUUGCUACAUUUAGUUGGGCACUCUAGUGAGACUGCCGGUGACAAACCGGAGGAAGGUCCGGAUGACGUCAAGUCCUCAUGGCCCUUAUGUGUAGGGCUACACACGUCAUACAAUGGUCGGUACAGAGGGUUGCCAACCCGCGAGGGGGAGCUAAUCUCACAAAGCCGAUCGUAGUCCGGAUCGCAGUCUGCAACUCGACUGCGUGAAGUCGGAAUCGCUAGUAAUCGUGGAUCAGCAUGUCACGGUGAAUACGUUCCCGGGUCUUGUACACACCGCCCAUCACACCAUGGGAGUGGAAUCCGCCAGAAGUAGUUAGCCUAACCGCAAGGAGGGCGAUUACCACGGUAGGUUUCAUGACUGGGGUG